This 428-nucleotide ribosomal RNA is filed under the name uncultured Bacillota bacterium. RNAcentral describes it as "bacterial SSU rRNA". It matches the Rfam family "Bacterial small subunit ribosomal RNA", at positions 958 to 1385 of the family's 1533-position model. The record is from RNAcentral. Lineage: Bacteria; Bacillati; Bacillota.
AACGCGAAGAACCUUACCAGGUCUUGACAUCCUCUGACACUCCUAGAGAUAGGACGUUCCCCUUCGGGGGACAGAGUGACAGGUGGUGCAUGGUUGUCGUCAGCUCGUGUCGUGAGAUGUUGGGUUAAGUCCCGCAACGAGCGCAACCCUUGAUCUUAGUUGCCAGCAUUCAGUUGGGCACUCUAAGGUGACUGCCGGUGACAAACCGGAGGAAGGUGGGGAUGACGUCAAAUCAUCAUGCCCCUUAUGACCUGGGCUACACACGUGCUACAAUGGAUGGUACAAAGGGCUGCAAAACCGCAAGGUUAAGCCAAUCCCAUAAAACCAUUCUCAGUUCGGAUUGUAGGCUGCAACUCGCCUACAUGAAGCCGGAAUCGCUAGUAAUCGCGGAUCAGCAUGCCGCGGUGAAUACGUUCCCGGGCCUUGUA